Molecule: long non-coding RNA, 1018 nt
Filed under: Homo sapiens (human)
Lineage: Eukaryota; Metazoa; Chordata; Mammalia; Primates; Hominidae
Description: HSALNT0169309
Source: RNAcentral
UCUAGCCACACCUCAUCCCUCCCUCUCUAGACCACCCAGGUGAUCCUGCAGCACCCUCAGAUCCUACAGCUUGGCCAAUCUUGGCUCCAGAUGGGAGGGAGAAGAUCAGAUUUCAUGGGUGUUUCUAUAUAACCCCAAGCCACCAGAGCUGAGCUCACUCCUGAGGUUGGUGCCAGGCCCUGCUGAGGAUGAGGCUGUCCAGAGCCUUCGCUUGGCCGCUGCUGUGCAGUAUAGCCACAACUGUUAAAGCUCCAUUUGCCACAGCACCCAGUGACUGUGGGGGCCACUACACAGAUGAAUAUGGCAGGAUCUUCAACUACGCUGGGCCGAAAACUGAAUGCGUCUGGAUCAUCGAGUUGAACCCCGGGGAGAUAGUCACGGUGGCCAUUCCAGACCUCAGGUAUUUUUCUUAAAUGAAUGAAUGAAUGAAGUGAUAAAGCCACAGAAGGCAUUUCCAAUGCAGCCUAAGUUACUGCAUUGAUAUCCCAGGGCAGUGUUCACAGAUUUCAGCAUGGAAACCACAUUUCCAUCAAUUCCAGACCAAGCCAAACACAGCCCACAAUGGUGGAUGAGACAGAUGGUGGAACUGUGUGACCCAGAGGUCCUGUCCCCUCCAGACAGCCUAUGGGCUCAGAAUCCCACUACGUUAUGCAGGAGUUCUAUGGGAUCAAGGACACUUCGAGACACCUGCCUCAAAUACGGGGCUUAAACUGUCUACCCAACCUGAGGCCCAGGGAUUCAAAAAGGAUGUGUGGCCAUGAAGACCCAGAUGGGGAAACAAGGAGAGAAGGAGCUUGAGGAGGGACCUGGAAUGAAAGAGUCGUGCACUUCCUGUGUCAUAAUUUCCCCAAGGCCAGCGGGAUGGGCGGCUGUGGACAUUUUCCCAUAUUGUCCCUUUGUCCUUUUCAAAGUUGAUUUUGAAUCUGAUUGUCCUUGGCACCAAGGAGGGACACAGGCUGGGCCAAGAGCAAAACUAGUAUAAAGUCAGCCCUGUGUGUGUCCUGGUGGGGUGUCCCCU